GGUCUAGUGGCGCACGGGUGCGUAACGCGUGGGAAUCUGCCCCCUGGUUCGGGAUAACCGUUGGAAACGACGGCUAAUACCGGACGAUGACGUAAGUCCAAAGAUUUAUCGCCUGGGGAUGAGCCCGCGUAGGAUUAGCUAGUUGGUGGGGUAAAGGCCUACCAAGGCGACGAUCCUUAGCUGGUCUGAGAGGAUGAUCAGCCACACUGGGACUGAGACACGGCCCAGACUCCUACGGGAGGCAGCAGUGGGGAAUAUUGGACAAUGGGCGAAAGCCUGAUCCAGCAAUGCCGCGUGAGUGAUGAAGGCCUUAGGGUUGUAAAGCUCUUUUACCCGGGAUGAUAAUGACAGUACCGGGAGAAUAAGCCCCGGCUAACUCCGUGCCAGCAGCCGCGGUAAU
Molecule: ribosomal RNA, 400 nt
Filed under: uncultured bacterium
Lineage: Bacteria
Description: bacterial SSU rRNA
Rfam family: Bacterial small subunit ribosomal RNA
Source: RNAcentral